GAUGAAGAACAUAGCGAAUUGCGAUAAGUAAUGUGAAUUGCAGAAUUCAGUGAAUCAUCGAAUCUUUGAACGCAACUUGCGCUCUCUGGUAUUCCGGAGAGCAUGCCUGUUUGAGUGUCAUGAAAUCUCAACCAUUAGGGUUUCUUAAUGGCUUGGAUUUGGAGGUUUGCCAGUCUAACUGGCUCCUCUUAAAGGAGUUAGCAAGUUUGACUAUUGCUAUCUGGCGUAAUAAGUUUCGCUGGAAUGGUAUUGUGAAGCGUGCUUCUAAUCGUCUUCUGGACAAUUUUUUUUUGACUCUGGCCUCAAAUCAGGUAGGACUACCCGCUGAACUUAAGCAUAUCAAUAAGCGGAGGA
RNAcentral lists this unclassified non-coding RNA (354 nucleotides) under soil metagenome. RNAcentral describes it as "partial contains 5.8S ribosomal RNA, internal transcribed spacer 2, and large subunit ribosomal RNA". The stretch from base 1 to 120 matches the Rfam family "5.8S ribosomal RNA", at positions 35 to 154 of the family's 154-position model. The record is from RNAcentral.